Molecule: long non-coding RNA, 1042 nt
Filed under: Marmota marmota marmota (Alpine marmot)
Lineage: Eukaryota; Metazoa; Chordata; Mammalia; Rodentia; Sciuridae
Description: lncRNA (ENSMMMG00000005946.1)
Source: RNAcentral
GUUUAACGAUUAAGUACAUACAGCAGUUUAUUGUUAAUGUACACACUUUCACAAUAGGUCACAUACAUUGCAGAAAAGUACAUAAUGAGAAAAAAUAUUACUCAUAAUAUAGCAACAAGAGGGCUAAAAAAAUUCUUCAAAUAUAACCCACUACCUGUUGUCUACUGAGGAAUCUUUAUUAGAACUGUUUGAAUUAAGAACAUGGCUCCACGUUUGUCGUUGUUCUUUUGUUUUUUAACCUUAAUUCACACUAGUACAUUUAGGAGGAACACUUUCACUCCUCACUAGAUAUUAUUUAUUUCUCACAUGCUUAACUCACUAGUUCAUCAAAUUCUGAAGGAUAACUUGAUGUCAUCUUCAUUAGCCAACCAACUUCAUAACAAGGCUUGUUGAAUAGCCCUGAAUUUUUUGCAAAUAUUCCAUUCAGUUAAGUUACUUUUCAAGAGAGCAGACAAUAGAGUUCACUGGCAGCUUUCCCACUUUCCAAGCAUCAAACACAUGUUGCUUUUCUAAUUUUGUACACUUCAGGCAGAUUACACUUAAAAAAAAAAUGUGCCCAAAGCUUUCUGCACAAAAUUGUUGAUUCCCCUGUUCCAAUAUACUUUCUGUAGUUAUCUCUUAGUGUUUAUUUGUUUAUUUAAACAGAGAGAGAGCAGAGCAUUGGUCCACAGGAUCAGGCAGUGCAGGCCUUCAGUCAGAAGAACAAGAAAGCAGCAAACAGAAGGUUCCCAGGCUGCACAAGCUGCCUGUUUCUCCCCUAAUGUCCCUUGCUCUGCCUUGUUCUCAAGGGACAAAGGCUAUCCAUAGUAGUACUGCUCUACAUUAUGCCUGUGCCUUUGGCCACCCAGAAUUGGUGGCUUUUUUAGUGAAGAAAAAAUGUAAUGUUUACCUCUGUGACUGUGAUGGCAACACACCAUUGAUGAAGGUAGAUGUAGCCAAGGAUAUCUGCAGAAAAAAAAAUGAUAGAAAUGCUUAGAAGAAAAAUUGAUUAAUUAUAUUUAAUAUGAUUAAUUAGUAAAACAUAUGAAAUGUUUUUCUUGGA